Molecule: ribosomal RNA, 394 nt
Filed under: uncultured bacterium
Lineage: Bacteria
Description: bacterial SSU rRNA
Rfam family: Bacterial small subunit ribosomal RNA
Source: RNAcentral
GGAUUAGAAACCCGGGUAGUCCACGCCGUAAACUAUGGAUACUAGGUGUCCGGAGUGUUAACCCUCUGGGUACCGCAGCUCACGCAUUAAGUAUCCCGCCUGGGGAGUACGGUCGCAAGACUAAAACUCAAAGGAAUUGACGGGGGCCCGCACAAGCGGUGGAGUAUGUGGUUUAAUUCGAAGCAACGCGCAGAACCUUACCUGGGCUUAACAUCCCCUGACAGCGGCAGAGAUGUCGUGUUCCCUUCGGGGACAGGGAGAUAGGUGCUGCAUGGCUGUCGUCAGCUCGUGUCGUAAGAUGUUGGGUUAAGUCCCGCAACGAGCGCAACCCUUGUCCUUAGUUGCCACCAUUAAGUUGGGCACUCUGAGGAGACUGCCGGUGUUAAACCGGAGG